Molecule: long non-coding RNA, 8151 nt
Filed under: Jatropha curcas
Lineage: Eukaryota; Viridiplantae; Streptophyta; Magnoliopsida; Malpighiales; Euphorbiaceae
Description: long non-coding RNA (JCUR_LNC001036)
Source: RNAcentral
AUCAUGGGGAGUACUACCUGAUCAUUUCUACCAACUUAAAGCCCCAAUUAAUAUACUUUUCUAUUAUCUAUUAGGCCGAAUUAGGCCGAAAUACCCUUUGUAGAUAAUUUAGAUAAUUUUCAAUCUAUUACUAAUCCUUUGUGUAUCUUGGUAUUCCUAACCAUCCACUCAUUUUUGCUUAAUCACCUGUUAGAAUUAUGGUAAUACAUAUAAAUGAUAGUGAAAACUCAAGAAAACUCAACAAGGUUGAUCUUUUGAGCCCGCUUCAAGUCAGGAUGACUAAUCAACCAAUCUUGGGGCAACCGGUCUUCUUUUUUUUUUCUGUUUUACUCUUGUACAUAGGAAAUGAGUCUCCAUUUUUUACUUCAAAUUUCGAAGUUGUUUUCUUUUACUCAUAUAACUAUCCAAUUUAGUUCAUCAACCCAAAUGAUGAAUAAAAAAUGAAGAUAUCUAUUCAUUUCGCCCUUUUCCUAAAAAGUCCUAAAAAGAAUAGGGAAAAAUUUAUGUUUCAACGAAUCACACGUAGAGAUAUGGAUAACACACAAAGACUUAAUGGUAUUUCAUAACUAAUCGAUUGAGCAGCAGCUCGUAGACCACCUAAAAAAGAAUAUUUAUUAUUGGAUCCAUAUCCUGACAUAAGAAGUCCAAUGGGAGCAAUACUUGAAAUGGCAAUCCAUAAAAAAACACCAAUAUUUAGAUCAGUUAAAACAAAGUGAUAGCCAAAAGGAAUUACUGAAUAGCUUAAUAAAGUUGAUAUGACUGCUAUGGAUGGUCCGAUACUGAAUAAACGAGUAUCUCCCCUAGAUGGAAAAAGAUUCUCUUUGAAAAGAAGUUUUGUCCCAUCCGCUAGAGCUUGAAGAACCCCUAAAGGACCGGCAUAUUCAGGUCCAAUACGUUGUUGUAUCCCUGCAGAUAUUUCUCUUUCUAACCAUACAAUUACUAGUAUGCCUAUCGUGAUUCCAAAUACAAGAAUCAAAAUAGGGACAAAGGCCCAUAGAAGUCCAUAGACCUCGUUUAAGGAUUCUAAUCUAGAAAAAGAAUUGAUAGCUUGUACUUCUGUUGUAUCAAUUAUCAUUUCAACGAUCAACUUCUCCCAUAAUGAUAUCUAUACUACCUAGUAUUGUCAUAAUAUCAGCCAAUUUCAUUCUUUUAACUAAUUGAGGAAGAAUUUGCAAAUUGAUAAAACCCGGGGGGCGAAUUUUCCAUCUCCAAGGAAAACCGCUCUGAUCCCCUAUCAGAAAAAUUCCCAAUUCUCCUUUUGGAGCUUCGACUCUCACAUAAAGUUCUUGUUUCGGUAAUUCAAAAGUAGGAGAAGUUCUUUUACUAAUGAAUCGAUAUUCGAAAUCGUUCCAUUCUGGAUCCCCUUCUUUAUCAAAACGUCGGGUUUCUAAAUUUUCAUAGGGCCCCCCCGGAAUUCCUUCCAGAGCCUGUUGAAUAAUUUUUAUAGAUUCCAUCGUUUCACCAAUUCGGACUAAAUAACGAGCUAAUGAAUCCCCUUCUUUUUGCCACUGGACUUCCCAAUCAAAUUCGUCGUAACACUCAUAACGAUCCAUUUUACGAAGAUCCCAUUGUACUCCGGAAGCUCGUAGCAUUGGUCCUGAUAACCCCCAAUUUAUUGCUUCCUCUGUACCAACAAUACCAACUCCUUCAACUCGUUCUAAAAAAAUAGGAUUUCGCGUAAUAAGUUUUUGAUAUUCAGCAACUCUUGUUAAAAAAUAAUCACAAAAAUCCAAACAUUUAUCUAUCCAGCCAUGAGGUAGAUCAGCCGCUACUCCCCCAAUACGAAAAUAAUUAUGCAUCAUUCUCAUACCAGUGGCAGCUUCGAAUAAAUCAUAUACUAACUCUCUCUCUCUAAAAAUAUAGAAGAAAGGAGUCUGUGCCCCAAUAUCCGCCAUAAAAGGGCCAAGCCAUAAUAAAUGAGAAGCUAUACGACUCAAUUCCAACAUAAUUACCCUGAUAUAGCUAGCUCUUUUAGGCACUUGAAUAUUUCCUAACAGUUCUGGGCCAUUUACUGUUAUUGCUUCUGUGAACAUAGUAGCCAAAUAAUCCCAACGUGUUACAUAGGGCAAAUAUUGUAUAAUUGUUCGAUUUUCCGCAAUUUUUUCCAUGCCUCUGUGUAAAUAACCUAAUAUUGGUUCACAGUCAAUAACAUCUUCGCCAUCUAGAGUAACGAUGAGUCGAAGAACACCAUGCAUUGAUGGGUGGUGGGGACCCAUAUUGACUAUCAUAAGGUCUUUUCGCAUAGCUGGUACAUUCAUAGGGGUUUCCUCGAUCUAUUCUUCCAUGAAUUACUGAAAACAAAAAGAAAUUCAUCUCAAGAUCUAAUAAAUCAAAUAAUUCAAAAAAACUCCUCAAUUUAUCAGUUUAACGAAUUUUUGACUCCCGAAUAUCCAACCGGCUAAUUAAUUCUUUAUAACGUACUCUCUUUUUCUUUGCUAAAUAAGACAGCGAUCGUUGACGUUUUCCUAGAAUUUUCCGCAAACCCCUCUGAGAUGAAUAGUCUUUUCUAUGCAAUUCCAAAUGUGAAGUAAGUCUUCGUAUCUUAUUAGUGAAACUUACUAUUUGAAAUUCAACGGAUUCUUUGUUUUCGUUUUUUUCUUCUUGUGAAAUAACCGAAAUGAAUGAAUUUUUUACCAUAAAAAAAGUACUUUUUUAGUUUAUUUUUUUUAGUUUAAGAUAUUUUUUAUUAAUCAGUAAUAAUAGAAAAUGUAUUAAUAAAUAAUAAUGUCAGUUCAUUUUAAUUUUGUAUACACAAUAAUCUUUCUUUGUUAAUAAUUCAAAAUCUUGUCAAAUCCAAUUUAUCCUUAAUCAAUUCCAUUUUUUUUUUAUUCAGUUAUAGAUACAAAAAGGAUGGUAUAUUUUUUCGUUUCCAAAAGAGAAAAAAAUUCUAUCUAAAAUGGAAUUGAAAGUAAAAAAGAUUCGUUUCUAGAUCUAAUUAAUACAUGAUUGAAUUCCAUAUGAAUAUGGAGUGUAAAAAAAUAACGUGCCCAUCUCCUUGUUUUCAUAUACUCGAUUAGAUAUGCUAUGGGAUAUAUAUGAAAAAUGAAAAAUGCACCUUUACUAAAACUAAAAUUGCGCCCGUGGAUAUAUAUAUAUUCUUACCAUACUGAAGCAACUGGCAUUAUUAGUAUCAAACCAAUAGCGAUUCAUACAAGCUAAAUCUUCUAAUCGAAAAUGGGGCCAAAGAAAAAAUUUGAAUUUAAUUAGUUUAUUUUUAUCUCUAUCAAAAUGUUUACUUUUAUCCAAAAUAGGACCACAGUUUUUUAUUUUAUUAACGUUGAAAAUUUCUGUAUUUAUAUGAAUAUCAUUUUUAUGAAUAUCAUUUUGGUUUUUAAAAUUGAAAGAAGUUAGAAUUCUUAAUUCUCUACGACGUUUAGGGAAUAAAAUAUUUUCAGGAACAAGUAAAUCAUAAUCAUUUUUGUCUCUAUUGCCAAUUAGACUUUGAUGUCUUUCAAUAGGUUCGGUAAAAUUCUUUUUAUCAAUAUAGAUUUUUUCUCUGUAUUUUUGAUUAAUUUGUUGUUUGUUCUUAUGAACUAAUAAGAUACCUACCGUUUGAUACAAAAGAAAUUGUCCAUUAUUUUUUACUGACAAACGAACAGGUUCGAUAAUAAAUAUUCCCUUUUUCAUCAAUUCAGUAAGAGUUAAAUCCUUCUGAACCAUCAGAAUAUUCAGACUUAUUUCUUGUCUUUGAAUAGAAGAUAUAAGAAUUUCUCGUGGAUUUGUCAGUCUAAGCAGGAGACAAUAUACUUUGAUAUUAUUGAUUAUUUUUUCAUUUAAAGAAUCAUUCCAUCUUAAUUGAAAACAUAAAUACCGUUUUAGGAAGAAAUCAAGCUCUACUUCCGUAUGACUUUUGUUUUGUUUUUUAUUUCUAUGUUUUUUCAUAUCUAAUCCCAUAUAAUCUUCUUCAAUAUUUUUUUCUUGAUUUGCGAAAACUGAUCCAAAGUCCAUUUUGUCUUUGGAUUCUUUUUCUUCGUGAUUUCGAUUCUCUAAUUCAAUGAAUUUUUUUUCAUUCGAUGAUAUAAAAAGAUCGCCGUUUUUCUUCUCGUUGAUUUUAGUAUUUUUACUAACAUUUUCAUUUCUAUGAAAAUUGAAAAGAAGAAAUUGGAUGGGUAUUGCCCAUGGUUUUAUCUUAUAUGUGUUAUAAAGUAUCACAAAUUUUCGAAAGAACCAAAGUUCAAAAUUGGAUAUGAGACGAUUUUGUAUUUCUUCAUUCAUUCCCAGCCAAUCAAAAAGGUUUUUUUUUUGAUUGGAUGAAUUGACUUCUUGAUCUUGGUGAAUUGUAAGAAAAAGAAGAUUUUUCUUAUCGAUUUUAUCAAUUAUUUGAUACUUAUUAGUCCUAGUCUUAGUAUUUUUUUUUUCUUUGCUUCCGAUAUCAAUCCAGGACUCAAUAUCGACCUUUUUUCUAAGACAAAAAUCGAGAAUUCUCCAAUCCAAAUAUUUUCUAGUCGGGCUUUUCUCCAUAUCGCUAAUAUCAUCUUCCCCUAGAUAAUUAUUGAUAGGAAUACUUUCCAACAUGUCAAAUAAUUUGCUUUUAUUUGUGUUGUAAUUAUAAGAAAUCUCUUGUUUAUUUACUUGUAAUGGGAAUCCGUAAAUAUAUGAGUUCUUCUUAUUUUCAUAAUUAAUGGAUUUAUAUGAUAAAAGAUUAUAUCUACAGUGUUUUUGAAAAUUCUUUUUUUGAUUCGGUAAUGAAUCUGCCGCAAAAUCAUUAUCAUUUUUUUUUUCGUAAUGAAUUAAUUGGUCUUUUUCAUUUAAUUGGUCUUUUUCAUAUAAAUUGAAUUUAUUAAAUUUUUUAUUUUGAACCAUAUGGUGUUGCUUGAUUCUAUUUCGCCAUUUUUGUGAUAUUAAUCUAGACCAUCUAAUCUGAGUUAAAUCAUAUUUAUAUUGAUAAUGACCCCUUAACCAGUUUUUCCAUUGAUUUAUUACGAAAUUUUGAAAAUUUUUAUCUUUUAAUUUGGAAUUAAAUAUCCCUUGGGCUCUAAAAUAAUCCUUUAUCUCAUUCUUAAGAAAAAGGCCAUGAUAUUGAAGGAUAGAUCGUAACUUAUAUAAAUUAAUAAUUUGGAUUUGUGAUAAUUUGUAAAAUACAUAUGUUUGUGACAAGGAGGAUAUAUCACAAAAAAUCUGUGAAUUGUUAUUAAUAACAGCAAUAUUACUAUUAUUAAGUAACUUUUUUAUAAUCAUAAUCGAAAGAAAGUGAAUUGUAUUUUGCUUUGUUUUAUCAAUUUUUUUGUGAUUUUUUUCAUUAUUGCAAACAUAUUUAGUAAUAAUUUUUUUUGUUGAUUCAAGAAAAAGCUGUGCAUUGAUCCUCGGAAUAUUAAUGAUACUUAAAAAGAUAUCUAUGUAUAUCCUUUGAAUCAAAAUUUUUAUAAAAAAAUGGAAUUUACGCCCUUUUAGAUAAUUUAGAUAAUUUUCAGUCUAUUACUAAUCCUUUGUGUAACUUGGUAUUCUUAACCAUCCACUCAUUUUUGCUUAAUCACCUGUUAGAAUUAUGGUAAUACAUAUAAAUGAUAGUGAAAACUCAAGAAAACUUAAUAAGCUUGAUCUUUUGAGCCCGCUUCAAGUCAGGAUGACUAAUCAACCAAUCUUGGGGCAACCGGUCUUCUUUUUUUUUUCUGUUUUACUCUUGUACAUAGGAAAUGAGUCUCCAUUUUUUACUUCAAAUUUCGAAGUUGUUUUCUUUUACUCUUUACUCAUAUAACUAUCUAAUUUAGUUCAUCAACCUAAAUGAUGAAUAAAAAAUGAAGAUAUCUAUUCAAUUCAUUUCGCCCUUUUCCUAAAAAGUCGUAAAAAGAAAAGAACAGGGAAAAAUUUAUGUUUCAAUGAAUCACAUGUAGAGAUAUGGAUCACACACAAAGACUUAAUGGUAUUUCAUAACUAAUUGAUUGAGCAGCAGCUCGUAGACCACCUAAAAAAGAAUAUUUAUUAUUGGAUCCAUAUCCUGACAUAAGAAGUCCAAUGGGAGCAAUACUUGAAAUGGCAAUCCAUAAAAAAACACCAAUAUUUAGAUCAGUUAAAACAAAGUGAUAGCCAAAAGGAACUACUGAAUAGCUUAAUAAAGUUGAUAUGAUUGCUAUGGAUGGUCCGAUACUGAAUAAACGAGUAUCUCCCCUAGAUGGAAAAAGAUUCUCUUUGAAAAGAAGUUUUGUCCCAUCCGCUAGAGCUUGAAGAACCCCUAAAGGACCGACAUAUUUAGGUCCAAUACAUUAAUGUAUCCCUAUAGAUAUUUCUCUUUCUAACCAUAGAAUUACUAGUAUGCCUAUCAUGAUUCCAAAUACAAGAAUCAAAAUAGGGACAAAGGCCCAUAAAAUUCCAUAGACCUCGUUUAAGGAUUCUAAUCUAGAAAAAGAAUUGAUAGCUUGUACUUCUGUUGUAUCAACGAUCAUUUCAACGAUCAACUUCUGCCAUAAUGAUAUCUAUACUACCUAGUAAUGUCAUAAUAUCAGCCAAUUUCAUUCUUUUAACUAAUUGAGGAAGAAUUUGCAAAUUGAUAAAACCCGGGGUCGAAUUUUCCAUCUCCAAGGAAAAUCGCUCUAAUCCCCUAUCAGGAAAAUUCCCAAUUCUCCUUUUGGAGCUUCGACUCUCACAUAAAGUUCUUGUUUCGGUAAUUCAAAAGUAGGAGAAGUUCUUUUACUAAUGAAUCGAUAUUCGAAAUCGUUCCAUUCUGGAUCCCCUUCUUUAUCAAAACGUCGGGUUUCUAAAUUUUCAUAGGGCUGCCCACCCGGAAUUCCUUCCAAAGCCUGUCGAAUAAUUUUUAUAGAUUCCAUCGUUUCACCAAUUCGGACUAAAUAACGAGCUAAUGAAUCCCCUUCUUUUUGCCACUGGACUUCCCAAUCAAAUUCGUCGUAACACUCAUAACGAUCCAUUUUACGAAGAUCCCAUUGUACUCCGGAAGCUCGUAGCAUUGAUCAUGAUAACCCCCAAUUUAUUACUUCCUCUGUACCAACAAUACCAACUCCAUCAAAUCGUUUUAAAAAAAUAGGAUUUCGUGUAAUAAGUUUUUGAUAUUCAGCAACUCUUGUUAAAAAAUAAUCACAAAAAUCAAAACUUUUAUUUACCCAGCCAUGAGGUAGAUCAGCCGCUACCCCCCCAAUACGAAAAUAAUUAUGCAUCAUUCUCAUACCAGUGGCAGCUUCGAAUAAAUCAUAUACUAACUCUCUCUCUCUCUCUAUAAUAUAGAAGAAAGGAGUUUGUAUAUCCGCUAUAAAAAUGCCAAGCCAUAAUAAAUGAGAAGCUAUAGGACUGAAUUCCAACAUAAUUACCCUGAUAUAGAUAGCUCUUUUAGGCACUUGAAUAUUUCCUAACAGUUCUGGGCCAUUUACUGUUAUUGCUUCUGUGAACAUAGUAGCCAAAUAAUCCCAACGUGUUACAUAGGGCAAAUAUUGUAUAAUUGUUCGAUUUUCCGCAAUUUUUUCCAUGCCUCUGUGUAAAUAACCUAAUAUUGGUUCACAGUCAAUAACAUCUUCGCCAUCUAGAGUAACGAUGAGUCGAAGAACACCAUGCAUUGAUGGGUGGUGGGGACCCAUAUUGACUAUCAUAAGGUCUUUUCGCAUAGCUGGUACAUUCAUAGGGGUUUCCUCGAUCUAUUCUUCCAUGAAUUACUGAAAACAAAAAGAAAUUCAUCUCAAGAUCUAAUAAAUCAAAUAAUUCAAAAAAACUCCUCAAUUUAUCAGUUUAACGAAUUUUUGACUCCCGAAUAUCCAACCGGCUAAUUAAUUCUUUAUAACGUACUCUCUUUUUCUUUGCUAAAUAAGACAGUGAUCGUUGACGUUUUCCUAGAAUUUUCCGCAAACCCCUCUGAGAUGAAUAGUCUUUUCUAUGCAAUUCCAAAUGUGAAGUAAGUCUUCGUAUCUUAUUAGUGAAACUUACUAUUUGAAAUUCAACGGAUUCUUUGUUUUCGUUUUUUUCUUCUUGUGAAAUAACCGAAAUGAAUGAAUUUUUUACCAUAAAAAAAGUACUUUUUUAGUUUAUUUUUUUUAGUUUAAGAUAAUUUAAGAUAUGUUUGAUUGAUCAGUAAUACUAGAAAAUGUAUUAAUAAAUAAUAAUGUCAGUUCAUUUUAAUUUUGUAUACACAAUAAUCUUUCUUUGUUAAUAAUUCAAAAUCUUGUCAAAUCCAAUUUAUCCUUAAUCAAUUCCAUUUUUUUUUUAUUCAGUUAU